Molecule: non-coding RNA, 297 nt
Organism: Cinara cedri
Lineage: Eukaryota; Metazoa; Arthropoda; Insecta; Hemiptera; Aphididae
Source: the annotation of a GenBank genome assembly
GCAGAUUUUAAUUUUUCUCCAUGCUUCUGUUUUUUGAGAUUCGGAGCGUAGCGAGGGAUCAAUUAGUUUUUUUUUUUUUUUUCUGUGUGUGAGCAACUUUUUUGCCAAAAACCUUGCUUCGACGUAUCAAGUGUAGCGCUUUUUCUGAAAAGAAAAUUUAUCUGGUUGGUGUAUCGAUAAGAAUAUUGUUUGAAUUUUCGAGGGGUUUUCAUAAUAAUUGAGAAAAACUGGAACAAAAAUUAUCGGAAAAACGGCAAAUAUUUACGCCGCGAUAUUACCGAUUUCAUUAUCAAAAAU